AGAAUCAACGCUGGCGGCGUGCCUCAGACAUGCAAGUCGAACGCGAAAGGCUCCUUCGGGGGCCGAGUAGAGUGGCGCACGGGUGAGUAACACGUAGGUAAUUUGCCUUUGGGUGGGGAAUAACUCAGGGAAACUUGAGCUAAUACCGCAUAAUGCAGCGGCUCGACAUCGAGACAGUUGUUAAAGCGGGGGAUCGCAAGACCUCGCGCCUGAAGAGAAGCCUGCGGCAGAUUAGCUAGUUGGUAGGGUAAUGGCCUACCAAGGCGACGAUCU
This 273-nucleotide ribosomal RNA is filed under the name uncultured soil bacterium. RNAcentral's name for it is "partial 16S ribosomal RNA". It matches the Rfam family "Bacterial small subunit ribosomal RNA", at positions 26 to 282 of the family's 1533-position model. The record is from RNAcentral.